UACGAAGGGGGCUAGCGUUGUUCGGAAUCACUGGGCGUAAAGGGCGCGUAGGCGGCCGCUCAAGUCGGGGGUGAAAGCCUGUGGCUUAACCACAGAAUUGCCUUCGAUACUGUUUGGCUUGAGACCGGAAGAGGUGAGUGGAACUGCGAGUGUAGAGGUGAAAUUCGUAGAUAUUGGGAAGAACACCGAUGGCGAAGGCAGCCAUCUGGACCGACACUGACGCUGAGGCGCGAAAGCGUGGGGAGCAAACAGG
This 253-nucleotide ribosomal RNA is filed under the name uncultured bacterium. RNAcentral's name for it is "partial 16S ribosomal RNA". It matches the Rfam family "Bacterial small subunit ribosomal RNA", at positions 524 to 776 of the family's 1533-position model. The record is from RNAcentral.